This is a long non-coding RNA of Perca fluviatilis (European perch), 700 nucleotides long. RefSeq lists it as uncharacterized. Lineage: Eukaryota; Metazoa; Chordata; Actinopteri; Perciformes; Percidae. The record is from RefSeq and is a predicted model, not a curated record. The transcript has 6 exons.
GUUUUGGGGACUCUGAUGUGAGUGAAGAAGAGCCAGAAAAUUGUGACUUAGCUUCUCUGAGGUCGCCACGACCUUCCAACUCGCCUGUUGUAUCAGUUGAAGCCUCAAGCCCAAACCAAUUACACUGGCAGACUCCACCAUCUCGCCGAGUGCCAGGCAGCAGAGUCACUACUCCUCAACCUGGAGGAAACUGUCUAGCACUUGACCAUGGGGCCGGACCGCAACACCCUUCACCACCUCAACUCCCUGCUCCUGCAUUUAACAUGAGGAGAGUUACUCAAGGAACAGCAGUCCCUCCUCAACUCCCUCCACCCCGCGCACCAGCCCUCAACAUGCGGCGAACAGAGGAGGCCUCUUCAAGCCUGGCCUACAGACCAACAUGGCGAGGGGGAAGAAUGACCGAUACCAUUCCCUGCUCUGCGGCUGAGGUCCACAUCCUUAGUCUGCUGGAGACCAUUAAACAGCAACAAGACCAGCUUGUGGCAAAGGUGAACUACCUCAGCAGCAGGCUGAACAGCACCCCGGGGGCCAGAUUUUGAGAUGCCGGACAAUAUCCAGUUUCCCCUGGAACAAUUGGAGGCAGUGGAGGCAUUUGAAAUGUUUUUAAAGGAACCGUCAAAUGGCCCAGCUCGACAGAGAGUGAUUUCUUCUUUGGCCACCAUUGGAGGUCAGGAUGUGAAGAGGGUGACCUGGAACAUCC